This 457-nucleotide ribosomal RNA is filed under the name uncultured bacterium. RNAcentral describes it as "bacterial SSU rRNA". It matches the Rfam family "Bacterial small subunit ribosomal RNA", at positions 340 to 786 of the family's 1533-position model. The record is from RNAcentral.
UACGGAAGGCAGCAGUGGGGAAUAUUGCACAAUGGGCGAAAGCCUGAUGCAGCUAUGCCGCGUGUAUGAAGAAGGCCUUAGGGUUGUAAAGUACUUUCAUCGGGGAGGAAAAAACAAAACUAAUAAUUUUAUUUCUUGACGUUACCCGAAAAAGAAGCACCGGCUAACUCCGUGCCAGCAGCCGCGGUAAUACGGAGGGUGCUAGCGUUAAUCAGAAUUACUGGGCGUAAAGAGCACGUAGGUGGUUUUUUUAAGUUCAGAUGUGAAAUCCCUGGGCUUAACCUAGGAACUGCAUUUUGAAACUGAAAUACUAGAGUAUCGUAGAGGGAGGUAGAAUUCUAGGUGUAGCGGUGAAAUGCGUAGAAUAUCUGGAGGAAUACCUGUGGCGAAAGCGGCCUCCUAAACGAAUACUGACACUGAGGUGCGAAAGCGUGGGGAGCAAACAGGAUUAGAUACC